RNAcentral lists this ribosomal RNA (253 nucleotides) under uncultured bacterium. Its description in RNAcentral is "partial 16S ribosomal RNA". It matches the Rfam family "Bacterial small subunit ribosomal RNA", at positions 524 to 776 of the family's 1533-position model. The record is from RNAcentral.
UACGUAGGGGGCUAGCGUUGUCCGGAUUUAUUGGGCGUAAAGAGCGUGUAGGCGGCCAGGUAGGUCUGCUGUGAAAACUCGAGGCUCAACCUCGAGACGUCGGCGGAAACCAUCUGGCUAGAGUCCGGAAGAGGAGAGUGGAAUUCCUGGUGUAGCGGUGAAAUGCGCAGAUAUCCGGAGGGACACCGGUGGCGAAGGCGGCUUCCUGGACCGACACUGACGCUGAGGCGCGAAAGCUAGGGGAGCAAACGGG